CAGUCGCCGCGGUAAUCCGUAGGGUGCGAGCGUUAAUCGGAAUUACUGGGCGUAAAGCGUGCGCAGGCGGUUUUGUAAGACAGGCGUGAAAUCCCCGGGCUCAACCUGGGAAUGGCGCUUGUGACUGCAAAGCUAGAGUGCGGCAGAGGGGGAUGGAAUUCCGCGUGUAGCAGUGAAAUGCGUAGAGAUGUGGAGGAAUACCGAUGGCGAAGGCAGCCCCCUGGGCCAAUACUGACGCUCAUGCACGAAAGCGUGGGGAGCAAACAGGAUUAGAUACCCGUGUAGUCCCUGUCUCUUAUAC
This 301-nucleotide ribosomal RNA is filed under the name uncultured bacterium. RNAcentral's name for it is "partial 16S ribosomal RNA". It matches the Rfam family "Bacterial small subunit ribosomal RNA", at positions 509 to 807 of the family's 1533-position model. The record is from RNAcentral.